UUGUUUAUUUAAAAUAUAAACUCAGACAAUUGAUAAAAUAUAGAGUUGUGGUUCCUUUGGUGAAGACUCACCCGUCUCGACUUAGAUAGUGAUCGAUCUCUUUCGAAAUCAAACAAAAGCAAAAUCUCAACCAGUGGACUUUUGAUGCCUAAACAUCAAAAAGAACGCUUCACCAAAGUAAUAAUAAAGUAACACAAAGGGUGGGAGAUUUCAUGACAAGCAUGAAAAAAUCUCGGUAAUGAUCCUUCCGCAGGUUCACCUACGGAAA
This 268-nucleotide unclassified non-coding RNA is filed under the name uncultured fungus. RNAcentral describes it as "sequence contains ITS1". Lineage: Eukaryota; Fungi. The record is from RNAcentral.